Molecule: long non-coding RNA, 7095 nt
Organism: Acinonyx jubatus (cheetah)
Lineage: Eukaryota; Metazoa; Chordata; Mammalia; Carnivora; Felidae
Exons: 4
Source: RefSeq, a predicted model, not a curated record
AAUCUGACAGGCCACAGAAAUAUCUGAUUUCAAAGAGAUGCUCGCAUUCUAUACUGAUGCCAUGUAGGAGUGUAAAUGCCCAAUGUCACACUGCUGAGUGGAGAAAGGUGAAGAUAAAGUAAGAAGGCAUCCAUCUACAAUCCAGGAAGAGGACUAUCACCAAAACUCCACCUUGCUGGCACUAUAAUCUUGGACUUCCAGCCUCCAAAACUCUGCUGGGAGCAGAGGCUUUCAAGAGGGACCAUAAUGCUGUGUUUUCUGGAAGCAUUUGAUUUGUGUCACGAAUGCUGUCUCAGGCAUGACUCACUGAUAAAAUGAAAUUAGAGGAAAAUAAGAUUUCCAGCUUCAAUGAAACUACCUCUCAGGAUCUACAGGUAGGUCAAGGAAGUUUCCAAAUCAAUAUAAGAUUUGAUUGUGUAAUUUUUUUAUGUUCAGUCUUUCUAUUAUUGAUAUUUUCAGGAGAAAAUUAUUUAAAUGAAACAAUAUGUUGGCUUUCUGUAAUACAUUUGAGUCUAGUAUAUAAAUCAGGGAAACCCUUGAUUCUUUCCAGAGAUUCUUGAUUAAAUAAAUUGAUAAAUGUGGUCAUCCUGCUUAAUUUAAGGUUAAUAUUUUAAGGCACAGGAAAAAGGUAAGGAAAUCUUAGUUUAACAGACUAUCAAAAGAAACUAUUAUCUAUCUCAAAAAGAUACCUAUAUUCCUAUGUUCAUUGCAACAUUACAACAGCCGUGGUAUGAAAACAACUUAAGUGCCCAUCAAUGGAUGAAUGGAUCAAAACUACAAAGCAUUAUUCAAUCUUAAAAAAUAAGGAAAUUCUAUCAUUUGAGAUUCCUGGAUUAGCCUAGAGGGUAAAAUUUUAAGAAAAAUAAACUAGACAGAGAAAGACCGAUAUAUGCACGGUAUCACUUAUAUGCAAAAGCUUAAACAAAAAAAGAAAAAGAAAAAGUUGCUCAUAGAAACAAAAAAUCGGAAAGUGUUUGCCAGGGGCUGGGAAUUGGGAGAAAUAGGGAGAAGCUGGCAAAAGGUGGUUUGCAGCCUCAAGAAGUUCUCCAGUCAAAAUUUGAAAAUGGCUCUCACACACAAAAGGCAAGGAGAGAUCAAAGAGGCAGAACUCUUUGAAUUGUUAGGUGGCAGGUUUAAAGAGUAAAGGAACUCAUAUAUACCUGAGUCUUGUCUUGGGUGACCUCAGGAUAAGAUCUCUGCACCUACCUGCCAGAAUCUUCCUCUAUGUAGAGGCUUUAGUUGGAUUCAAUCACAUGUAUUGUCCAGGUAGUCUCAACACAUUUGCUCUCUGAAGGCUAUGUUCUUGACAUGGCUUCCACCAUAGAAACCGUGAGAAGAAUGUCCAUUUCAAGGACAGAAGAGUUGCCUGCCUCUAGUUCUUGAGUCAACCAGUUAAAACAUGCUCUUGAUCACCUCCUCUGACAAUAGGGUACAAACUUUGUUAUAAGAUGAAUAAGAUGGUGAUCCAAUUUAUAACAUGGAGACUAUAGUUGGUAACACUAUGUUGUAUAAUUGAAAUUUUCUAAGUGUAGAAAUUAAGUAUUCUCUCUCUUACACACACACACACACACACACACACACACACACACAAAGUAAAUAUGUGAGGUGAUGGGUAUGUGAACUAACUCCAAGGGGCAAUAUCUUUUCACAAUGUGUGUGUGUGUCUCAAAUAAUCACAUUGCACACUUCAAAUAUGUUACAAUUUUAUUUGUCAAUUAUACAUCAAUAAAGCUAAAAAGAAUUGAGUCCCAGGAUCUAUUCGGUAAACCUUAGAACCAUUACACUCAGUGACAAACAAAGCAAUUACAAAGGAAGAACCAACAAAUGCAAACGAGAUUGUUUUUCAAACUUUACAUGGUAAUUAAGUAGUUCUUAUACAUUAGUAUGAAUGAGGAGUCUGUUUCCUUGGGGCUAUAUCGGACGAUGUGUUUUCAGAAGCAUUCAUUUAAAAAGUCAUUAUAAUGGGGUGGCAAGGUGGCUUAGUCAGUUUAGCGCCUGACCCUUGAUUUUGGCUCAGGUCAUGAUCCCAGGGUUGUGGGAUUGAGCCCCGUGUCGGCUCCGUGCUGAGCGUGGAGCCUGCUUAAGAUUGUCUCUCUCUGCCCUUGCCCCUCUUGCCCACAUGUUGUCUCUCUCUUUAAUAAAAAGUCAUGAAAUUGAAAUGAUCCUUUAUUUCUGAACCCUCCUUUUAUCUCAUGGUCUCUUAGCAGUAACAGAAUUAAAAUUAGUGUAUAACGUUGUUUUUUCCAGUGGAGAUGAUUGUUCAAAAGGUUAGAGAAGUUAAUGGGCUGUUCCAGGUUGAGUUUCUCUUGGAUCAGCCAAGUUUGCUCUAAAUUAAGUAUUCACAGUCUCAGUCCCCAUCUAGAGACAUAAGAUCCCAGUCAUAACAGUCUUACAAUAAUAACAUUAAAGCUAAACAUAAAAUUAUAAUAUAAUUAGAUAAUAAAUAAUGAUUACAGUCAAAUGAUGUGCUUCAUUUAACCCUCCUAUUAAUCAUAUGAGAUUUUGACACCCGUUUUGCAUUUGAGCAAAUCGAGGCUUAGAGAGUUUACAUGAACUGCCAGAUGAUAUAGAGCCAGAACCAGAUUUGAACUAAGUUUGUAAAAUCCAAAAUCCAUGUCAUUAAUCCGUGUGCUAGUGUUUCCCCUACUUAAAAUGUGUGUGGUUAUAUUUUCAUGUGUUUUGAGAAUUCUAUUUGAGUGAAUACGUAUGGCUGCCACUCAUUCAACAUUUUCUAAUGAAAGAAGCAACAAUUGGCCCAUAUUGUAGUAAAGUGAAUUAUUUUGCAUUCACUAUUUUCCAAACUACUUAUUGAUCAAAAUAUUCUGGUCAUUCUGUGGAGCACUGAAGAUAAAGGAGAAAUUAAGCACACGAUAAUACCUUCCUUGUGGAGUGUGCAUUUUGGUAAGUAAGGGAAGACAGACAACAAAUAGUAAGUUAUUAAAAUGCACGGAAUGGAACAUGAUGGUAAGUGAUGGAGAAAAAAAACAAAUCAGGGUGUAGGAAGGAGAUGCAUGAGGUUAUGGGGUUACAAUUUAAAAAGGAUGCUUCAUAAGAAGCUGGUAUUUAAUCCAAGAACUGAUGUGAGUAAACAGAACAAAGUGAGCCUUGUGAUUGUGUGGGGAAAGAGCCAUGCAGGCAGAGGCCAUGUAAGGAGGAGAGCCUGAGCUGCUGGGACCUGCUGUGUUCAAGGAAUAGCAAGGAAGUCAAUGUGCUGAGGGCACAAUGGGCCGGGUGAAAGCAGUGGGACAGAUUGGGUGGGGAUUUGGAGGCUGUCAUAGGAGUUAGUUUCAUUCUGAGUGGAUCAGAGCCACUGAAUACAUACAUACACGCAUACACACAUACAUUGUGUGUGGUGUCCGCGGACAAGGUUUGGAGAGGAUAUAUUACAUUUGUAUUUAUUUGUAGCCCAUAUUUAUUUAUUUUUAUUACAUGUUUUUAUAUAUAAAGUAUAUAGCUUUAGUACCAUAUAAAGUGCAAGCCAUUAAUAUAAUUCCUUUGUCCAGAUAAAUGGUAAACUUAAAGAUUGUAAUUCUUUUCAAUGAAAACAUGCAUUUUUAAAAAAUGACCAUUGUUUAUUCACGGUCACUUUAUUAGAUAUUCCAUUAAAUUAUUUAUGAUUUUUACCACAAUGAUAUAUUCAGUAUUUCCCUUGGUAUAUAAGGUAAACUAUUUUAUUUAUGUAUUUAAAAAAAUUUUUUAAAUGUUUAUUUAUUUUUGAGAGAGACAGAGUGCGAGUGGGGGAGGAGCAGAGAGAGAGGGAGACACAGAAUCUGAAGCAGGCUCCAGUUUCUGAGCUGUCAGCACAGAGCCCCAUGCAGGGCUCAAACCCACGAACCCCCUGAGAUCAUGACCGGAGCCAAAGUCAGAGGCUUAACCAGCUGAGCCACCCAGGCGCCUCAAAAGUGAACUAUUUUAGAUUUCAUAAUUCUAAACUAUGUUUUCAGUCCUCAGUCUGGGAAAUUACAUGGGAGUCCAUUUCUCCCCAACAACCUUAUUCCUAUUUAGGUCCUAAUUAGGGACUUCCCUAAAUCCCUAUUUAAAGUUUUCUAUUUGCAUAUUGAAGACAGUAUAGAUUGAGGACUUUGAAACAAUUUCAACUUCAAUUCUCUGUCUCUGCAUUCUCUGUAUUUCAUGGACUGCUUGAGGCUGAUUUUGUGUGAAAGACUCCCAACUGUUAUUACUUUGUUGGAGAAAGCAAGAGGAAAAAAGAAUGUCUUAAAUUAAUUUUUUAGACCAUGCUUAGUCCAGAUUUUCUUUCCUUUCAUAUCCUCUCUGCUUUUUGGUAUUAUUGAGGUUCUUUAAAUAAGGCCUUGAGCUACUCAUUGCUAGUGAUUCAAUACCAAGACUUUUUGUUAAAGGAUUGUAUUUUGGUUCAAGGAAAAGAAAACUACAAAACUGGUAAUUCUCUUUUGAAAUAUCGUAUCAGUGAAAACCAACAAAUGCCAGUUUUCAACGUUAAUAAAAGUUCAAGUAAGAAAACAAAAUUUGCGUAGAUAACUUGUUAUCUGAAGCAUUUCAGCUUUAAGUUAGCAUGCUUUUAGGUAAAACUACAUUUUAUUUUCAAUGCUUUCAUAUUUAAUUUCAUUAAAAUGGAAUGAUUUUAAUAUCUAUUUCCUUCAAAUUAAAUAUUAAUUCCAAAUCCCCGUUCUGUGUAUAUAUAUAUAUAUUUUUCAAAAUAUGUCCCUAUUCAACACAAUUGCAUGUUUUUAUUUUGGAUAUUUCCUAUUAAAAAAAUCAAACUAGCACAUGUACUCAUUUAAAACUCAUUUUACAUUGCUUCAUUUGUCUUGUUUUCUGAGCAGAGCUAUGGCAAAAGCAUGGGGUCAUUCUCCACUCACAUGCUUUGUAUAUGUGAACAGUUUUUUUUUUUUUUGUAAUAUAGCAUAAAUGUGUGGUCAGUGUUUUGGCCCUUCAGGCACUCAUCAGGCACGAUGGUUCACAGAAGUGAACUGGGUACCAAGAAUUUAAAGUGCCUUGAAAUCAUUAGAUGAUUAGCUUUCCCUUGAGUUCUUUGUCACCCUGAACAGAUUUUCUGAAGGAUCUGUUACAGUCUUCUUCCCCUGGUACUGAUCAAGGAAAACAAAAAUAGAAACAUCAUUGAGUACAAUGUUGAUCUGGAGACUCGGCAUUGUUUCAAAAGAGAAUGCUAGGAAACUGCUACAAAGUACAAACAUUUAUCCAAGCGUAAUGUCAAUGCCAAUUGUUUUGCCUUGAAAUCCAGAGCUUUUCAAAGGCCCUUUCUCAAGUGCACUUGGGCCUUAAAUAGUAAACCCACUUUUCCAUGUGAAAAAAAUGCGGAAGGUAUCUCUCAAUCAUGCUUAUACUGGUCUUAUGAAGCAAAUAAAACUGCAUGUGAAUAAAGGUUGAUUUAAUGUUUGUAACAGUGAGAGUCUAUUUUCAAUAUAAAAAAUGACCGGGCUCAGGCAGCCAGUCAAAACUAGAAAUGGGAUCAACUCUCAUUGAAAAAAAAAAAUCAUGAAUAUAAUGUGGACAUUUAUCAUUUAUUGCAGUAUUCUGUGAACAUAUGCUACGCCGAUUACUGGGUGUAAAAUAUGAAGAGACAUUUUAAGUAAAAAUGGAUAAAGUAGGUGCAUUUAUCUUCUUCUUUGAAUAUAAUUGAGAUGGUUGAAUGCACAGAAAACACAGACCAACCACUUCCCUUGAUGUUAAGCAUAUUUGGAUUUUUGGGGCCUGAAUAAUAAUAAACUUCUAUAGUAAUACCAUGAAAAGGGAUCUUUUCCCCCUCAUUUGUAAAGCUCGUGUUCAAGCAAGAGUAUCAAUAUUUUUUUUCCAUAAGUGGUCCAUUUAAAAAAAAGUAGUCCUCAUAUCAAUGCCACUUUCAAUACAGCUUCUUCUCAGUAUUAGCCUUAUGAACAAGAAACAUGUCCUUCAACCACUCCAAUCUUAAAAACAAAAAACACAAAUACACUUUGGUGGUCCAAUAAAUGAGAAUGUGCUGCUGUGAUCUGUUUCUUAGGAUGGAAUAGUGAGGGUUGGCAGUUAUUAACAAGUAUUGUCAUCUCCACAGAUGCUACAGAUCACAGAGGCUCCUUCAGAGAAGGGCUUUAUACUGGCCCUCUGUAACAUUUAAAUAUUUAAAAUUUCACAUUGCAAUAAAAAGCUUAUUUCUAAAUGAAGUCCAUGAUCAGUCUGGAUAUAAAGCCUAAUGACACUGGCUCAGUCUUCAGGAAGGAGUGAGAAUAAAUGGGUCCAUACAGAAUACGAGUCUCAUAGGUUUUAGCCAGAGAAUGUUUUUGUUAUGAUUGUGGUUGUGGCUGUAAUUAUUCCCAUUUUUGUCGAGCCUUCACUUAUGUGGCGGCUCCAAAAAUUGUUUACUUUGGGACCAUAUUUUAAAUUACAAUAAUAUUUAAUAUAGUGAUACUUGAGUACAUCCUUUCCCAACCACAAGGUAAAGCUAGUUCCAAUGCCUUUGCAUUUUUAAAAAUAUAGUUAAAUACCUGUGAAUUUCCAAUAAAAGUCCUUGUCUGUCCAGUUUGUUAACUGCCAAAUUAACAGAGAGUUUCAACAAAAAUGUGUCCCUGAAAUGAGAAUUUGUACUUAAAUUAGCUACACUUGAUCUUAGCCAAAAGGCCGAGAAGCGAUUGUACUUAAAUUAACUGAAUUGUUUAUUAAUUUGUCUACUUGCUGUAAGAGUAACAGGACGAGAUUUUGCUCAUGACUCCCAUUCUAUCAGGUACUGCUAACUUACCAAGUAGCAUUUCUGAGGCCUAUUACAAUGAUGUGGAGAACUUAGAAUAAUUAAUAAUUGGAGCAAAUGUAAAUGUUACAGCCUGACUAGCUGCUUCUCUGUUUCAGAUCCUGCCUCCAGCCACGCCCACCAAACAAAGAAACAAACAAACAAACAAAAAAAACCCAAACUAUGUGUGUAACACUAGGAACCUGAUAAAUCUUAGAUUAGAAAAUGAAUUUUCUAAUUGGACAUUGAGAAAUUCUUAGGAUUCUUCAGAAUCCUUAUUUCUAGCAUGUGUAGGAAAAGCAGGAACCAAAGGUAGCCCCCAUUCCAACCCAAGCAAUUUCACUUCUCUCUUUUAUAUAUAGAGAGACACAGCUGCUUUAAAUAUUGGUUUGUUUGAU